GAUGAACGCUGGCGGCGUGCUUAACACAUGCAAGUCGAACGAUGAUCCCAGCUUGCUGGGGGAUUAGUGGCGAACGGGUGAGUAACACGUGAGUAACCUGCCCUUGACUCUGGGAUAAGCCUGGGAAACUGGGUCUAAUACCGGAUAUGACCGUCUGACGCAUGUCAGGUGGUGGAAAGCUUUUGUGGUUUUGGAUGGAC
Molecule: ribosomal RNA, 200 nt
Filed under: uncultured bacterium
Lineage: Bacteria
Description: partial 16S ribosomal RNA
Rfam family: Bacterial small subunit ribosomal RNA
Source: RNAcentral